RNAcentral lists this ribosomal RNA (688 nucleotides) under uncultured bacterium. RNAcentral describes it as "bacterial SSU rRNA". It matches the Rfam family "Bacterial small subunit ribosomal RNA", at positions 11 to 670 of the family's 1533-position model. The record is from RNAcentral.
GAUUAUCCUGGCUCAGGACGAACGCUGGCGGCGUGCUUAACACAUGCAAGUCGAACGGGGGUUGAAGAGAAGCUUGCUUCUUGAAGACCCUAGUGGCGAACGGGUGAGUAACGCGUAAGCAACCUGCCCUCCGGAUGGGGACAACAGCUGGAAACGGCUGCUAACACCGAAUACGAUUAGGAUACCGCAUGGUAUCGUAAAGAAAGGCUGCCUCUGAAGAUGCAGCCGCCGGAGGAGGGGCUUGCGUCUGAUUAGCUGGUUGGAGGGGUAACGGCCCACCAAGGCGACGAUCAGUAGCCGGUCUGAGAGGAUGAACGGCCACAUUGGGACUGAGACACGGCCCAGACUCCUACGGGAGGCAGCAGUGGGGAAUAUUCCGCAAUGGGCGAAAGCCUGACGGAGCAACGCCGCGUGAACGAAGAAGGUCUUAGGAUCGUAAAGUUCUGUUGUUAGGGGCGAAGGGUGCUGUUUUGAAUAAGGGUGGCAUUUGACGGUACUUAACGAGGAAGCCACGGCUAACUACGUGCCAGCAGCCGCGGUAAUACGUAGGCGGCAAGCGUUGUCCGGAAUUAUUGGGCGUAAAGGGAGCGCAGGCGGGAGAUUAAGCGGACUUUAAAAGUGCGGGGCUCAACCCCGUGAGGGGGUCCGAACUGAUCUUCUUGAGUGCAGGAGAGGGAAGCGGAAUUCC